Molecule: long non-coding RNA, 347 nt
Organism: Limulus polyphemus (Atlantic horseshoe crab)
Lineage: Eukaryota; Metazoa; Arthropoda; Merostomata; Xiphosura; Limulidae
Exons: 3
Source: RefSeq, a predicted model, not a curated record
UCGAUGUUUUGUUUUAGUGACAUCUAGUGACAAUUCUUCUAUAUUUAUGUCAUAUGACGGAUCGAUUUUAAAUAUAAGAGUUCAGAGUAGCGUAGGUUUUGCACCAGUCUAUCAUGACGGAAUACUGGUUGAUAUCUGCUCCCGGAGAGAGAACAUGUCAAGAAACUUGGGAAAAGUUGAACUCCGUUACUUCUAAGCAAAACAAUUUGUCUGAUAACUUUAAGUUCCACAUUCCAGAUCUAAAGGUGGGGACGUUGGAUCAACUAGUCGGGCUUUCAGAUGAUUUGGGGAAACUUGAUGCGUUUGUUGAAGGGUAGGUGAAGAGGACAGUUUGCUCUGAAAAUUCC